GAUGAACGCUGGCGGCGUGCUUAACACAUGCAAGUCGAACGAUGAACCUCACUUGUGGGGGGAUUAGUGGCGAACGGGUGAGUAACACGUGAGUAACCUGCCCUUGACUCUGGGAUAAGCCUGGGAAACCGGGUCUAAUACUGGAUACGACCUUCUGGCGCAUGCCAUGUUGGUGGAAAGCUUUUGUGGUUUUGGAUGGACUCGCGGCCUAUCAGCUUGUUGGUGGGGUAAUGGCCUACCAAGGCGACGACGGGUAGCCGGCCUGAGAGGGUGACCGGCCAGACUGGGACUGAGACAAGGGCGAGACUCCUACGGGAGGCAGCAGUGGGGAAUAUUGCACAAUGGGCGCAAGCCUGAUGCAGCGACGCCGCGUGAGGGAUGAAGGCCUUCGGGUUGUAAACCUCUUUCAGUAGGGAAGAAGCCGGCUUUUGGGUUGGUGACGGUACCUGCAGAAGAGGCGCCGGCUAACUACGUG
This 475-nucleotide ribosomal RNA is filed under the name uncultured bacterium. Its description in RNAcentral is "partial 16S ribosomal RNA". It matches the Rfam family "Bacterial small subunit ribosomal RNA", at positions 28 to 507 of the family's 1533-position model. The record is from RNAcentral.